Long non-coding RNA from Hirundo rustica (Barn swallow), 541 nucleotides. RefSeq lists it as uncharacterized. NCBI's taxonomy places the organism in Eukaryota, Metazoa, Chordata, Aves, Passeriformes, Hirundinidae. The transcript has 3 exons. The record is from RefSeq and is a predicted model, not a curated record.
ACCCGCGCCUCCUCCGGGCCGCAGUUCGUGUCUUCUCGGCGAAGCGGGAAAGAGCCGCCGGCUGCUCCUGCGGCUGAGGCCUUGCCCCGACGCAGCUUCCCCGCUUCCUCUGCAGUCUGGACGCCUCACCUUGAACUCUAGAGAGGUUUUUCAAUGCUCUCUAUCCAUAGCUCCUUCCAGGAGCGCCACCACUUGUCUGCGAGCGCUCGGCCUUAUUGAAGCUUAGUAGUUUCCACUGGCUUUCAAAGAGCUUUAUGAAGUACAUCCUUUACAUCCUGUUGAUGCGGCCAUUUCUGAAUAAUUAAUCUGAAAGUGCUUUGAGCUUCUCUGUCAUCGUGUUACCAUUCUUCUAGAAGAAGACAGAGAAUAAAGUUUUUGUGUGCUUGGUCUGACUGGCCAAAAACUAAAGGACAGAGAUACGGGCUUUCACAGACGUUAUUGCUGGAUUAAAUUCUCAACUCCAGAGGAAGCUCAGAAUGUGUUACAGAAGGACUCUCACAUUCUUGAAGGUUCCAAGCUCACUCUCAAACAGCAGAUCCGU